This 1714-nucleotide long non-coding RNA is filed under the name Theobroma cacao (cacao). RNAcentral's name for it is "long non-coding RNA (TCAC_LNC002278)". Lineage: Eukaryota; Viridiplantae; Streptophyta; Magnoliopsida; Malvales; Malvaceae. The record is from RNAcentral.
UUAAGGUUUAAGGGUAGUUUAAUAUUGUGCAUAUUUUGGAUGAAAAAUAUGCAAGUUGCUUAAGAAAUUUUUAAUUAAGUUGCUACCCAUACAAAUGUGUGAUUAAGUAUACUGAGUUUAAAUUGUUGCUAGAAAAGUUUGUCGUGGAGGCGUGCCGAACGAAGUAUGUGACCGACAAAUAGGAAUAAUUAUAUACGCGUACGAAUCAAUAGUGAAGUAAUAUCCCACUAUUAUGAGGUGAGUAGGGGGUGUCAAUUUUAAAAAUUUCAUAUAUAUAUACAUGUACGUAUAUUUUACGUGAAGUGCCAAAUUUAUGGAAAACAUGCGUUGAUAGAAUUUUAAGAAAUUGCGAGUGUAAUUUAUUUUUAGAAAUCAUUUGAAAUAUAUAUGUAUAUUAGACGUAAAUUGUUUUAAACCGGGAAACAAGCUUUUCGAAAAGAUUUACAUCAAAGGAAAUUGUGCCUUAUUGUUUGUGUGGUGUGCAUUCAUGAAAUUUAUUACAUAUUCACCAUGUUAUUUUGAUACAAAAUAUCAUGCAAAUAUUUACAAUGAACAUUUUACGAAAAGAAAGUUUUAACGUGAUGUGGGGACUGAUAUUUUGAGAAAGAUUUAAAAUAUCCCCUUGAAGAUCAAAUUUAAAUUCUUUUAAAAGGUGAUUUCAUUUUAACAAAGAAAUUCAAGAGUAAUUGGAGACUGCUACUUAUUGUGUUAUAAAUUAUAUUUUGAAUUGAAUAGGUUAUGAUAAUAUUGGCAUGAAUGGUUGAUUUGGUAAAUGUGCUGAAAAAGUAUGUACUGUUGAUUUUCCUUGAGAGGUUGUAAAAUAAAACAAUUGCCAUGUCAUGCUGUUGAAUUUUAUUGAAUUGGUAGGUUAUUGAUUAGUCGCUGCAGUGGACGGGUUCCGUGGACUAGCCUAUUAGAGGGGCACGGUAACCCUAUUAUAUUCAUACGUCAGUAUGAGAGGCGCGGUUGGAUAACUCCUGAGGUUAAAACUUUAGAGUUCACUUCACGCCAAACCACCACGUGAGGGUGAACUCAGCCAACGCCAAGGAACGACUAUGUUUUCAAAAUAAAAAUAUGAUUUAUGCGUACAUGACUUUUUAACAGCCUUGGCGGAUUCGGUUGGGAUAGCCCCAAGCCAAGGUAUCCCUGACAACCGAGUAUGAAAAUGAUUUUGGCACAAGCUAAGUUUUUAAGAAAGUCAUAAGCCAUGUUGCUUAUUUUUGACAAAAAUGUAAUGGUUUUAUAUGAGUUGAAAUAAGUUUUAAUAUUAUGAAUUAUAUUUCUCUGCAUGGUGAAAGUGGAAUUAAACUGUUUUCGUAGCUCCCCUAUUUGUUUAUCUGUGAAAUGGAUCUGUAAUUCCUCGCAUAUGGGGCGAGUUUUGAUUUGGGCAUGAUUUUAAAUAUUAUUUGGUUUCGCGUGGAGCUUGCUAAAUUUUAUUGAUUUGAUUUGAAAAUGUUUAUUAAUAUAUUUUGAUGUGAAAAAUUUUAUUACCUCGAUUAUUUAUACUUUAUAAGAAAUUCUCGAUUUUUAUAUAAGGCACAAACCCUCGUUUGAAACGAGUUGCUUUGAUAAUCUUGCAUUUUUAUAUUCAACUGAUCUACCGUUUGCUUGUUUCCCAUCUACGCCCUACUCGCUAAGUUGAUGAUUAUCACUGAGUUUAUAAGACUCACACCCUUUUAUUUCCCCUUUUGCAGAUAGGGAUCAGCCUAGCGUG